Molecule: ribosomal RNA, 549 nt
Filed under: uncultured bacterium
Lineage: Bacteria
Description: bacterial SSU rRNA
Rfam family: Bacterial small subunit ribosomal RNA
Source: RNAcentral
ACUCAAUAGAUACCCGGGUAGUCCUAGCCCUAAACGAUGGGUACUAGGUAGUAGACUAGAUAUGGGUUUACUGCCGAAAGCUAAAAAGUGCUAAGUACCCCGCCUGGGGAGUAUGGUCGCAAGGCUGAAACUCAAAGAAAUUGACGGGGGCUUACACAAGCGGUGGAGCAUGUGGCUUAAAUUCGAGGCUACGCGAAGAACCUUAUCCUGGACUUGACAUGUGCGAAAGCGCUAGGUAGUAGAAGCCGGAAACGGUAACGAACCCCGCAAGGGGGAGCCUAGUACAGGUGCUGCAUGGCUGUCGUCAGCUCGUAUCGUGAGAUGUCGGGUUAAGUCCCAUAACGAGCGAAACCCUUACCCUUAGUUGCAACCGCAAGGGCACUCUAGGGGGACUGCCGGUGUUAAACCGGAGGAAGGCGGGGAUGACGUCAAGUCCUCAUGGCCUUUACGUCCAGGGCUGCACACGUGCUACAAUGGCGUGUACAAAGCGAAGCGACUACGCGAGUAGAAGCCAAUCGCAAAAAACCGCGCCCCAGUUCAGAUCGCAGG